UAACUGGCCUGGCAGAGGAGAUACCACGAUCAAGGAGUCGGUUCGCCCAAAGCAUCUCACUCUGACUAGCUGACCCCAAAUGUGGGAAUCUGGACUGCAUAAUUUAUGGUCGUGGUGGACUGCACUCUCCUC
This 132-nucleotide small nuclear RNA is filed under the name Acanthochromis polyacanthus (spiny chromis). RNAcentral's name for it is "U1 spliceosomal RNA (ENSAPOG00000023567.1)". It matches the Rfam family "U1 spliceosomal RNA". Rfam says of the family: U1 is a small nuclear RNA (snRNA) component of the spliceosome (involved in pre-mRNA splicing). The record is from RNAcentral. Lineage: Eukaryota; Metazoa; Chordata; Actinopteri; Pomacentridae.